Molecule: ribosomal RNA, 264 nt
Filed under: uncultured bacterium
Lineage: Bacteria
Description: partial 16S ribosomal RNA
Rfam family: Bacterial small subunit ribosomal RNA
Source: RNAcentral
GUCCUGGCUGUAAACGAUGGGCACUAGGUGUGGGAGGUAUCGACCCCUUCCGUGCCGCAGCUAACGCAUUAAGUGCCCCGCCUGGGGAGUACGGCCGCAAGGUUGAAACUCAAAGGAAUUGACGGGGCCCGCACAAGCGGUGGAGCAUGUGGUUUAAUUCGACGCAACGCGAAGAACCUUACCGGGGCUUGAACUGCAGAGGACGGCCCUAGAAAUAGGGAUUUCCCGCAAGGGACUUCUGUAGAGGUGCUGCAUGGCUGUCGU